This 601-nucleotide long non-coding RNA is filed under the name Chinchilla lanigera (long-tailed chinchilla). RNAcentral describes it as "lncRNA (ENSCLAG00000023581.1)". The record is from RNAcentral. Lineage: Eukaryota; Metazoa; Chordata; Mammalia; Rodentia; Chinchillidae.
GGGGACUUCUAGGGUAAGACAAUAACUGGGAGAGCCCUGGAGAAGUCAGACAUUGGCUGGGGCAGUUGGGAAGUCUGGUUCCUGAACUGAGCAGAACUCAUACCUUCCGGAAAACCUCAUGGGCCUGAAACCUGCUGUGACCACUAGAUGUCACUGGUGACUUCCUUGGCCAGCUCUAGCAGCCAAACAAGUAAGCUUCCGGCUUGGACACAUGAGACUGGACCCCAGCUGGUAGCACUAACCAAAUGUAGUGAGCCAUUAAAAGAUGUUGGGGCCAGAAACACGAGAGGGAAGAUUUUAACCCAACCAACAUUUGAUUGGAAGUUCCUGGGAGUAGUAUGGACUAUAUCAGCCCAUAAGAAAACUUGAAUCCCACCAGAGGCUGCUUCAGCCUCCACUGUCAGCUAUCACAAAGCCAGCUGAAUUAUUACCGCUACUGAAACACACUCAACUAGCUUCUGGAUUAGCAGACUGAAAUCCUAGUUAAUGGCUCCAGCAGGGAUCAGCACUAUGAACUUCCAACUCAGUACAUCCUCAGCUGCAAGAAUAUCACAGCGGGCUCACUACCUUUUGCAUAUUAAGUCCACACCCUAAUAAAUGC